UCUUCAUUUUAGCAAACGUCAUAUCUGUCUCAUUUAAAGUCAAGCUUAAGUGAAUAGUUCCUUCAUUGACCAGCAGAGGGCGGUAUUUGUAAACCGUUCUAACUCUCCGUACCUUCAGUAUGAGGUAUUCUGCAGGUUACUGUAGGCCAGUCUGUCUGUAUCAGGAUUACAGGACUGAGAUCUGGCAAAAUAUGUUAAAUUAAUACAAACAAAACAUAUUUAAUUAAUAUCUUAAAGACCCGAGCACGGCAUCAGUUUAGAUAUGUUACUGUUUUAAAUAUAAAGCUUGUUAAAAAUACACGCUGAGCUUGGGCGUUUAUUAGCACUCAUUAGAGUGAGGUCCAUUAAUAUUGGACUAUUGGUUAGAACUAGCGCGGUGUGCAGCGCUGAGAGAGCUUUUAAUUACAUUAUCAAAUGUUCACUCUAAGUCAGAUGCAUUUUCUCGGAGGAUUUUGUAUGACCACUGAACGAGUUUGUAUCACUGUGGAGGACUUUUGGUGGAGGGACGAAACUGUCAGUUGGACGUGACGCCACACCCACCCUCACGGUCCUGCCCCCCUCCAGUG
This is a non-coding RNA of Electrophorus electricus (electric eel), 566 nucleotides long. The record is from RefSeq and is a predicted model, not a curated record. Lineage: Eukaryota; Metazoa; Chordata; Actinopteri; Gymnotiformes; Gymnotidae.